RNAcentral lists this ribosomal RNA (327 nucleotides) under uncultured eukaryote. RNAcentral's name for it is "partial 18S ribosomal RNA". It matches the Rfam family "Eukaryotic small subunit ribosomal RNA", at positions 1470 to 1796 of the family's 1831-position model. The record is from RNAcentral.
CCCUUAGAUGUUCUGGGCCGCACGCGCGCUACACUGUUCGACGCAGCGAGUCUUAACCUUGACCGAAAGGUUUGGGUAAUCUUCAGCAAAGUCGAACGUGAUGGGGAUCGAUCAUUGCAAUUAUUAAUCUUGAACGAGGAAUUCCUAGUAAACGCAAAUCAUCAAUUUGCAUUGAUUACGUCCCUGCCCUUUGUACACACCGCCCGUCGCACCUACCGAUUGAAUGGUCCGGUGAAGCCUCGGGAUUGUGGCCAGUUCACUUUAUUGGGAGUUGGCUGCGAGAACUUGUCUAAACCUUAUCAUUUAGAGGAAGGUGAAGUCGUAACA